UACGUAGGGUGCGAGCGUUGUCCGGAAUCACUGGGCGUAAAGGGCGCGUAGGUGGCUUGGUAAGCGUGUGGUGAAAGCUCGGGGCUCAACCCCGAGUCGGCCAUGCGAACUGCCGAGCUUGAGCAUGGUAGAGGCAGGUGGAAUUCCGGGAGUAGCGGUGAAAUUCGUAGAUAUUGGGAAGAACACCAGUGGCGAAGGCGGCUCUCUGGUCCACACCUGACGCUGAGGCGCGAAAGCGUGGGGAGCAAACAGG
RNAcentral lists this ribosomal RNA (253 nucleotides) under uncultured bacterium. Its description in RNAcentral is "partial 16S ribosomal RNA". It matches the Rfam family "Bacterial small subunit ribosomal RNA", at positions 524 to 776 of the family's 1533-position model. The record is from RNAcentral.